This 497-nucleotide ribosomal RNA is filed under the name uncultured bacterium. RNAcentral describes it as "partial 16S ribosomal RNA". It matches the Rfam family "Bacterial small subunit ribosomal RNA", at positions 28 to 507 of the family's 1533-position model. The record is from RNAcentral.
GAUGAACGCUGGCGGCGUGCCUAAUACAUGCAAGUCGAGCGAACAGGCGAGGAGCUUGCUCCUCUGACGUUAGCGGCGGACGGGUGAGUAACACGUGGAUAACCUACCUAUAAGACUGGGAUAACUUCGGGAAACCGGAGCUAAUACCGGAUAACAUGUUGAACCGCAUGGUUCAACAGUGAAAGACGGUCUUGCUGUCACUUAUAGAUGGAUCCGCGCCGCAUUAGCUAGUUGGUAAGGUAACGGCUUACCAAGGCAACGAUGCGUAGCCGACCUGAGAGGGUGAUCGGCCACACUGGAACAGAGACACGGUCCAGACUCCUACGGGAGGCAGCAGUAGGGAAUCUUCCGCAAUGGGCGAAAGCCUGACGGAGCAACGCCGCGUGAGUGAAGAAGGUCUUCGGAUCGUAAAACUCUGUUAUUAGGGAAGAACAAAUGUGUAAGUAACUAUGCACGUCUUGACGGUACCUAAUCAGAAAGCCACGGCUAACUACGUG